Molecule: long non-coding RNA, 1338 nt
Filed under: Gopherus agassizii (Agassiz's desert tortoise)
Lineage: Eukaryota; Metazoa; Chordata; Testudines; Testudinidae
Description: lncRNA (ENSGAGG00000008704.1)
Source: RNAcentral
CUGGGAUAGCAUCUCCCAUCUCCCACUCACUAAAAGCACUUGGCUUCCUAAGGGUUAAAGGCUCCCCCAAGCACACACACACCCCCGGCCCCCCACGAUUUGCAGGGCAGUGAGGAUUUUGCUGGCAAAUCGCCUGUUCCUCCCAGGUACUUGACUCUCCUGCCAGCUGGGGUGCGGGGGAUGAGCCGGGGCCCACACCGAGCUGUGCGGUGUCUGUGAACGGCUCAGAGCCCUGCCCCCCUAAUCACCCCCACCUGGCUCCAAGAGCAGACUCCUCAGGGGAGCUGCUGGUUGAUUCCCCCCCGGCCCCCGGGGAAAUCCCGCGGCAGGGAGGCUUCUGUAGGGCUGGCAGGGCCUGCUUUGUGGUUAGCCCCAGGAAUGCAGGGGUUAAUGCCGGAGACACCCCUCACCCUCGGGAGUCCAGCUGGUUAGGACAUCAGUGAGAUGAGUUUGCAGGGAGCUCAGCCUAGAUACUUGGCAGCAGACGGACGGGGACGGUGGCCAGGACUCAAGCAAAUUCCAGGGCUGGGCUUGACGGGGGCUGGCGGGUUUCACGCUGGCUUGGCACGGCGAUCAGGUGUCUCCUGGCAGGCCGGGGUCAGGGGCCGAAUGGCGUUUGAUGCAAAUGUGACGACAUCCCUGUGGAGAGAUCCUGCUGGGCUGGGGUUCCCCCCCCCUCUGGUCUGCAAUGGGGAGCUGGGGUGGGGGGCUUGGGAGCCGUCGCUGACACUCCACAGUCAGCGACACCCUCACGCUACCAAAAUCUUGGUGGUAUCCGGCCCCGGGAGCGCGGCUGCAGCAUGAUGGGGCCAGCACAGGGUGGGCAGAACGCCGGGUGUGGCUCAGGGCCGCAGGUGCCAGGCUGGCAGGAGCAGAGGGGGCAUUGGGGCGGGUGGUGCUGUCCCUUGUCCCUAAAGUGGCCUCUUCCCGCCUGCCUGGCCCUUCGGCCCCACUGCGUUUGGGGCUCACACCGGCCUCUCUCCGUCUUUCCUGCAGCCGAGCUCAGACCUCUACCAGCUGCCCACAGCCCUGCUCAAGAGACUCUACGAUGGCCACCGGGUCUCCUACGAGGCGCUGCUGCAGCUGGCGGGCAAGGACGAUGCCCGUCCCAAGAUGCCCGUCCCCUCUCAGAAACGGGACAUGCACGACUUCUUUGUCGGCCUCAUGGGGAAAAGGACCCCAGAGCCCGAUGACCCCACACAUGGGAACAAGGAGACUUCCGCUGGAUUUGGUGACCUCAAAUAUCCCCCAAAUGCAGAAUGAGGUGAGGGCAGCGGGGGCCCGGGUCUCUUAGCUCCCCUUCCCGUGCGACGCCCGCGGGCUCACGCUCACACGCCU